AUUUGAAAUCUGGUCCCUAGGGCCCGAGUUGUAAUUUGUAGAGGAUGCUUUUGGUGAGGUGCCGCCCGAGUUCCCUGGAACGGGACGCCACAGAGGGUGAGAGCCCCGUCUGGCUGGCCGCCGAGCCUCUGUAAAGCUCCUUCGACGAGUCGAGUAGUUUGGGAAUGCUGCUCAAAAUGGGAGGUAUAUGUCUUCUAAAGCUAAAUAUUGGCCAGAGACCGAUAGCGCACAAGUAGAGUGAUCGAAAGAUGAAAAGCACCUUGAAAAGAGGGUUAAAUAGUACGUGAAAUUGUUGAAAGGGAAGCGCUUGUGACCAGACUUGGGCGCGGCGGAUCAUCCGGGGUUCUCUCCGGUGCACUUCGCCGCGUCUAGGCCAGCAUCAGUUCGUCGCGGGGGAAAAAGGCUUCGGGAACGUGGCUCCUCCGGGAGUGUUAUAGCCCGUUGCAUAAUACCCUGCGGUGGACUGAGGACCGCGCAUCUGCAAGGAUGCUGGCGUAAUGGUCACCAGCGACCCGUCUU
RNAcentral lists this ribosomal RNA (519 nucleotides) under soil fungal sp. DM2-339. RNAcentral describes it as "eukaryotic LSU rRNA". It matches the Rfam family "Eukaryotic large subunit ribosomal RNA", at positions 113 to 655 of the family's 3401-position model. The record is from RNAcentral. Lineage: Eukaryota; Fungi.